RNAcentral lists this unclassified non-coding RNA (1559 nucleotides) under Hevea brasiliensis (rubber tree). The record is from RNAcentral. Lineage: Eukaryota; Viridiplantae; Streptophyta; Magnoliopsida; Malpighiales; Euphorbiaceae.
UUAUAGGAGGGUAUGUCUAAACUGACACACAAGUGUUGUUGUAGAAUGACAAAAUAUUAUGCAUAUUUAUCUCAUAUGAUGAGUGUCUGGUUCUUGAUAUUUGAGUUAAUCUGCAUUUAUAGGAGGGUAUGUCUAAACUGACACACAAGUGUUGUUGUAGAAUGACAAAAUAUUAUGCAUAUUUAUCUCAUAUGAUGAGUGUCUGGUUCUUGAUAUUUGAGUUAAUCUGCAUGUAUAGGAGGGUAUGUCUAAACUGGCACACAAUGGUAGCUGCUAAAUAAUAUACCUUUUAUGUUGUUUCUGUCUUAAUGGUAGAUGACGAAGAGCCUUCCCUUUGUUUCCUUGUUAAAUUGAUGGACGUUGAAGGAAAGAAGUUUGGUGGGGGUUCUUUCUGGAACAAUUAGGGCCAAGGGAGCUUGGUGGUGCUGUUGAUCUCAUAAAUCAGUAUAAGCUUUGGCCUCACCAUGAAUUAUUCUGCAAGAGGUCACUACCUUUGUCAAUAUCUGAGACUCACUAUCUCCAGAAUGUGGUGGGUGACACUCAAAUCAGGAAAGGAGACGGGAUGGAAUUGGAUCAGCUCUUUCAUAAUGCCUCCUAUUUGAGAGAGAGAAAUGCUUGCAUAAAUCCUUUUGAUUUAGGUGUGCUUGCGGAAGCCUUUCAUAUGAGAAAAACUACUCCUGUUGACCUGCCUUCUGCUGAGAGAGGGAUCCCUACUGCAAUAAUGAAGUCAAGGAGCAAAUUCACAAAAGACAAGGAAAUGACGCACAAAAAGCACAAGGACAAGGAUCAGAAUAAGCAUAAACAUUGCAAAGAGGAUGGAAGUAAUAAUAAGGAUAGAAAAAGAAGUGGAACGGUACCUGGUCUUGAGAACUUGAAGAAACAACAUGACAAGAGGAGACGAUGCAAUGGAUUGUAAAUGUCUUUCCUACAACCUCAACAUGAGAAAACCUGGUAAGCCAUGGUUGGACUCUAAAGCAUAACCAUAAGUACUAAAUGUUUUGAAUCACAUAAAUUCAUGUCAAUUAUUUGGCAAGCUCAUCACGCUUAUCUUUAGUUUUUCAUUUGGCUGAUUGCUUUUUCUUCCAAGUUGUGCCAACUUCAGAAAUCAAGAAUAUUGAAGUUUGGCAAGCAACGGGCUGAAAACAUCUGGGUUAGAAUGUUGAUUUUGUGCUCUCCACUAGAUGUGCAUUUUUCAUGGUUUAUUGAGUGUAAUCCUGUAGAUAGUAUAACUGGAGAUGUGGGCGGCUUCAAGGUCUUUUAUGAUGAUGGCUAUUGCCUAGAUCGGCAAUUGUAAAAUGGAAAACCAUGAAAUAAAAAAUUAAAAAAAAAAACUAUAUUUUGAUUGGGAACUUGGCUUCUUUUUUGUUUCAUAAAUUGAUUAUGUACUAAUCUCUAUAGGAUGGGCAUUGAUGGUCUCUAGCCAAAGAAUUCUCUUAAUUCUUUUCCCUGCCUUUGCUUGUGUCCUGUAAUCCUGUGUUUCCCUAAGAUUAUGGAUGCAUGGCUUUGAGAUUGGUCAUGCUUUGAUGUUUUAUCAGCAGUUUAACUUCAACUUCACUGGU